ACACUAACUAAAUUAUUUUUAUACAUUAUAAUCUCUUUCUCUUCGGCCACAGUUUUUUUUUCUCUCUCUAAAAAAAAAACCCCACAUUUCUCUCACUCGUCUAGGUCGUAAAAUUUACGAAGAUCGGAGAAUUGACGUGUUGCCUUUGGAAUUGAGUUAAGGAAGGUAGGGUAGCUGACGAUUUAACGCGAUCGAGGGCUUUGCUUUUUGUGAAUUUGGGAUUUCUAGGGUUGUUUGGGGGUUGGAGAAAAUUGGGGAUUUUUCUAGGGUUUUGGUGUAAUAGAUUGAUAUUGUUAUCAAUUGGCUGGGGAUUGGAUAAUUGAUGUUUGAGGCUGGACUGGCUAGAAAAGGGGUUGAAAUAAUUGGAGAAGAUGCCAGUCGAUUUGUAUUAUGCAUGGGAAGGGACAAAGGGGAAGUGAACUUUGUCGACGCUUGAUUGGUGGUCAGCACAUGCCGGUUACGACCACGACGACUGUAGCCGUCGGUGAUUCUUCUGUUGUUUCUACUAUUACAGCUGAUUCGUUCUGCAAGGGUGGUCGCAAAGUUAGUGUGGGUGAUUGUGCUUUGUUCAAACCAUCUCACGAUUCCCCUCCCUUCAUUGGAAUAAUCCGAAGGCUAAAGUUGAGUGAAGACAAUAACCUACAGUUAGGUGUUAAUUGGCUUUAUCGACCUGCUGAGCUUAAGCUUUGCAAGGGCAUCCUUCCGGAAGUCGCACCCAACGAAAUCUUUUAUUCCUUUCAUAGGGAUGAGACACCUGCUGCAUCACUACUGCAUCCGUGUAAAGUUGCAUUCCUUUCUAAAGGAGCUGAACUUCCAACAGGGAUAUCCUCAUUUAUCUGCCGGCGUGUUUAUGAUAUUUCAAACGAGUGUUUAUGGUGGUUAACUGAUCAAGAUUACAUCAAAGAGUUACAAGAAGAAGUAGGUCAAUUAUUAAAUAAGACGCGAGUAGAAAUGCAUGCAACAGUGCAACCGGGUGGUCGUUCUCCGAAACCAAUGAAUGGUUCCAUGUCAACAUCGCAAUUGAAACCAGGUUCAGAUAAUGUGCAGAGCAGUGUAACUUCUUUUCCUACACAUGUUAAGGGAAAGAAAAGGGAGCGGGGAGAUCAGGGCCCUGAGUCAAUUAAACGUGAACGUUCAAUCAAAACAGAAGAUAUAGAUUCUAGUCAAAUCAAAGCUGAAAGCAUAUUAAAAUCUGAAAUUUCUAAGAUUACGGACAAAGGAGGGCUUCUGAACUCUGAAGGGGUUGAGAAGCUAGUUCACCUCAUGCAGCCAGAUAGAAAUGAGAAGAAAAUGGAUUUGAUCAGUCGUUCAAUGCUUGCAAGUGUUGUAGCUGCAACUGAAAAUUUUGACUGUCUUACUAGGUUUGUACAGUUAAGGGGUCUUCCUGUGUUAGAUGAGUGGCUUCAAGAUGUUCAUAAGGGGCGGAUUGGUGAAUCUAGCAACACAAAAGAUGGUGACAAAUCAGUUGAGGAAUUUCUCUUUGUUUUGCUUCGUGCACUUGAUAAGCUUCCUGUGAAUCUUCAAGCACUGCAGAUGUGUCAUAUUGGCAGGUCUGUCAAUCACUUGCGGCAGCAUAAAAACACAGAAAUACAGAGGAAGGCACGGAGUUUAGUUGAUACGUGGAAGAAACGGGUUGAAGCAGAGAUGAACAUUAUUGAUGCCAAGUCCGGUUCAAAUCAGGCUGCUACGUGGCCUUCUAAAUCAAGGUUGCCCGAGGCUUCACAUAGUAUUUCCAAAAAUCCUGGUGGUUCAAAUGAUGUGACAAAGAGUGCAGUUGCACAACUUUCUGCAUCUAGAAUGGCCUCAAUAAAGACUUCACAAGGGGAGACUACUGUAAAGUCCGCAUCCUUGUCCCCAGGCUCAACCAAACCAGCAUCAUCACCUGCAUCUGGAAAAGAGGGUCAGCACAGAGUCUCGGUUGGUGGGUCUUGUGAUGUCCCUUCAGCUAGGGAAGAUAAGAGCAGCAGUUCUAGCCAGUCUCACAACCACAGUCAGUCGAUCUCGGGGAAAGAGGAUGGAAGGAGUUCAACUGCAGUGUCAAUGAACAGCAUCAAGAUCUCUACUGGUGGUUCUCGUCACAGGAAGUCAAAUAAUGGAUAUCCUGGAUCAUCAAUAUCUGGAAGCCAAAAGGAGAGUCCUGCAGGCAGAAGUUCACACAGGAAUCCUACUUCAGAAAAAUUGCUGCAAUCUGCAGUGAGUGGUGAGAAAAUUAUGGAUGUGCCAGUUCUCGAGGGGAGUGGCCACAAAUUGAAAGUUAAGAUGUCUAACAGGGGACGCAGUCCUGCGCAGAGUGCCAGUGGAGGUUCCUAUGAGGACCCUACGAACAUGAGCAGCCGUGCUUCUUCUCCUGUGCUUUCUGAGAAGAGUGAUCAAUUUGACCGAACUUUAAAGGAGAAGACUGAUGCAGAUCGAUCAAAUUUGGAGGCAAAUGCUGAAUCAUGGCAGAGUAAUGAUUUCAAAGAUAUACUAACUGGUUCUGAUGAUGGAGAUGGAUCACCAGCUGCUGUUACAGAGGAGGAGCGAAGCAAGAUUGUUGAUGACAGCAGGAGAUCAGCAGAAGUUAGAGCUGCUUGUACAUCAGGGACUGAAGCCAAGUCCGGAAAGCUUCACGAAGCUUCUUACAGCCCCAUGAAUGCUUUGAUUGAGAGCUGUGUAAAAUAUUCUGAAUCGAACGUUCCUAUGUUAUUGGGUGAUGCUAUUGGUAUGAAUCUCCUUGCCAGUGUGGCUGCUGAAGAAAUGUCCAAGUCUAACAUGGUAUCACCUUCCGUUUCCCCGCAUAGAAACACCCCUGCUGCUGAAGAGGCUUGCACAGGCGACGACGCUAAGUCAAAGUCACCUCCUGGUGAUAUCACUGCUGGUGACCGUAAAAAUGAUGAUGGUGAUGGUAAUGGAGAGGAACUCAUUGUUGCUAGUGCUUCAUGGUCCGAGGAUAAACUGCUUUCAUCCAUGGGUGCUGCAAUUGAGUUACCUGGAGAUAGAAAGGCCUCCGUUUCACCUUCUCAAGAGACAAUGGCAGGUGGAUGUAAACAGUUCAACUCUCCCUGCUUUGAUUCACAGACGGCUGGAGAAAAGUUAGAGAUCACUGAGAAGUCAGUUGAGGUGGAAAAGUAUGCUUCUUCACCUCGUACUGUAUCUGAGAAGGCAAUUGAUGGUGAAGCAAGCAAGCAAUUCCAUGAGGAAACUCUGGUGUCCCGUGAGGUCAAAGUUGAAGGUCCUUUAGAUGCUAAUUUAGGUGGAGAUGGUGCUUCAGUAUUAGGAGACAAGGUCGCUAGUACAGUUGCAAGCUUUGAAGACCAGAAACCAUCAGUUGAAGUCUGCACUUAUAAGUUUGAAAGUGAGAACAAAAAUGGCAUGAACAGGGUGUUGAACAUUGCUAGUGCUGAGACGAAACCAUCUUCGGUGGUGGUAAAUUCUGAAAAGAUGGAGGGAAGUGACAAGGAAGAGCGCUUAGCAAAUAUUGAAGCUUCAGUUGAGGAUAAAGCCCGUGUUGGAACUGACAUAGUUACAAGAAAUCAGAAGGGUGAAGCUAGUGUUGAAAGGAAGAACGUUGUUCCUGUGCAGAACUCUGGUUUGUUACUCAAUCAGAAAGAUAGACCUGGAUUUUCAAAUGCAGAAGUGCAGAAACAUGGGGAAUCUAGAGAAUUGAACUUUUCUGCUGGUGAAGCAGAUAAAACAAAGGACUGUGGAUCUGCCAAUGCAAAGAUUUCUUUUGUCUCUACUGCUGCUCCAGAGUCAGCUUCAAAGGUGAAGUUUGACUUAAAUGAAGGUUUUUUUUCUGAUGAGGGGAAAUACGGGGAUCCAAUCAACCUUACAGGCCCUGGAUGUUUAUCAAAUGUCCAUAUUAUGAACCCAUUGCCUUUUGCUGUAUCCUCAGUUUCCUGUAGUCUCCCUGCCUCCAUUACUGUAGCCGCCGCCGCCAAAGGUCCGUUUGUUCCACCUGAGGAGCUAUUGAGGGUCAAAGGUGAGUUUGGGUGGAAAGGCUCUGCUGCCACAAGUGCAUUUCGCCCAGCUGAGCCCAGAAAAUCACUUGAUAUGCCGUUAAGUUCAGCAACCAUCUCUCGUGCUGAAGCUUCUACCGGCAAGCACAGUCGCCCUCAAUUAGAUAUCGACCUGAAUGUACCAGAUGAAAGAACCUUUGACGACAUAAAUGGUCAAGAUUCUGCUCUAGAGUUGAUCUCUCCUUUGGGCCAUAGUGCUAGUCGUGCUUCAUUGAAGAAUGACGUGAUUGAUUCUCCUGCUGUUCGUUGUUCUGGAGGACUUGAUCUUGAUUUAAAUAGACUUGAUGAACCUGGUGAUGCAGGACAGUGCUCUGUGAGUAGCAGUUGUAGAUUGGACGGUGCUGUUUUUCCUUCCAAAGCGUCAACCGUUGGCUUGCCAACUGGGGAUGUGAGGAGGGACUUUGAUUUAAAUAAUGGGCCCGGUGUUGAUGAGUCCAACGCGGAACAGUCUCUAUUCCAUGAUAAUCAUCAGGGGAGCAUGCGUUCUCAACUGCCUGCUUCUAACCUCAGACUGAACAAUCCGGAAAUGGGGAACCUCUCUUCGUGGUUUACCCCUGGAAGUACUUAUUCUACUGUGACACUUCCAUCAAUUUUGCCUGAUCGUGUGGAGCAGACGCCAUUCCCAAUAGUCACACCUGGUGCACAGCGAAUCUUGGGUCCUGCUGGUUCUCCUUUCACACCAGAUGUUUACCGGAGCUCGGUAUUGUCAUCUUCUCCUGCUGUGCCCUUUCAAUCCUCCCCUUUCCAGUAUCCUGUAUUUCCUUUUGGAACAAGUUUCGCACUUCCUUCUGCAUCAUUCUCAGUUGGAUCAACUUCUUUCGUUGAUCCUUCCUCUGGUGGAAGGAUUUAUACGCCAUCUGUAAAUUCACCGUUAUUGGGUCCUGUUGGCUCUGUGUCAUCCCAAUAUCCGAGGCCAUAUGUCGUCGGCCUUCCCGACAGCAAUAGCAAUGGUACCAUGGACCACAACAGAAAAUGGGGCAGGCAGGGUCUGGAUCUUAAUGCAGGCCCUGGAGUGGUGGACAUGGAAGGGAGAGAGGAGUCUGUAUCUUUGACGUCAAGGCAACUCUCUGUUGCUGGUUCUCAAGCAUUAGCAGAGGAGCAUGGUAGGAUGUAUGCUGUAUCUGGUGGUGUCCUGAAGAGGAAGGAGCCUGAGGGAGGAUGGGACAGUGAGAGCUUCAGGUUCAAGCAGUCGUGGCACUAAGAUCAGGAAAAGCUGCAAUCUGGUGAUUUUGAAAGGGAAGCGCCAGGACAUCAUGCAUUAAAUUGCGUACCUCAAACUCUAGUGGUGGAUGGACUUUGGCUAACUCCCCAGACUCUCAGCUUCUGGUAUGUUUCUACAGGGGUGGGUGGUAAGUGAGCAAAGGUGAUGUGUUCAGAGUCUCCGACCUCCACCUCUUCAGUCUAGUAGGGAUUUCCAUGGUUUGCAAGCACUUUGGUCAGCUAUAUUCUCUGGGUGGAUGCAGACGAUGAGUUUUCCCUCUGUAGAUAUUUAACUGUUGGAAAGCUUGAAAAUCUUUGAUGCCCAGGACGGGGUGAAAUCAGUGAUAUCCUUGUCCAAAUUUAUUGACAUUGGAGGUCCGGGUUCCAGACUGAAUCAAAUGGAAAGCUUUGUUUGUGCUUGUGCUUUGCUGUUAAUCAUCUUUCGUCGAUCCCAGUGUUCUUGGCAUUUCCGUGUCCUCCUUUUGCUCAUUACAUAUGUAUACAGGGGUUGGCACCAAAUUUUGGUACUAAUGCUUUCAACAGGCAUGUUUUAGUUGUUGUGGCUGCCAUUGUACUAUAAAUUGAUUCUAACUUUAGAUGUAGUCUCAUUCACAGAUGAUAGAACUCUUGUUAAAGAUGAUGUUUUCAUUGGUGGUGGUGAGAUGUGCUUGUUUACUCUCAAGCUAUUAUUCUGAACCAACAACUGUCCUUGAAAACAAGGAAAAAACUUUUUUCUGACUUGAAAUUAAACGGUGGAGCUUUGGGCAUAGUGUAUGGCUGAUCUUAUCA
RNA transcript from Solanum pennellii, 5987 nucleotides. RefSeq lists it as uncharacterized. NCBI's taxonomy places the organism in Eukaryota, Viridiplantae, Streptophyta, Magnoliopsida, Solanales, Solanaceae. The transcript has 6 exons. The record is from RefSeq and is a predicted model, not a curated record.